GAUGAACGCUGGCGGCGUGCCUAAUACAUGCAAGUCGAGCGAACGGACGAGAAGCUUGCUUUUCUGAUGUUAGCGGCGGACGGGUGAGUAACACGUGGAUAACCUACCUAUAAGACUGGGAUAACUUCGGGAAACCGGAGCUAAUACCGGAUAAUAUUUUGAACCGCAUGGUUCAAAAGUGAAAGACGGUCUUGCUGUCACUUAUAGAUGGAUCCGCGCUGCAUUAGCUAGUUGGUAAGGUAACGGCUUACCAAGGCAACGAUGCAUAGCCGACCUGAGAGGGUGAUCGGCCACACUGGAACUGAGACACGGUCCAGACUCCUACGGGAGGCAGCAGUAGGGAAUCUUCCGCAAUGGGCGAAAGCCUGACGGAGCAACGCCGCGUGAGUGAUGAAGGUCUUCGGAUCGUAAAACUCUGUUAUUAGGGAAGAACAAAUGUGUAAGUAACUAUGCACGUCUUGACGGUACCUAAUCAGAAAGCCACGGCUAACUACGUG
This 497-nucleotide ribosomal RNA is filed under the name uncultured bacterium. Its description in RNAcentral is "partial 16S ribosomal RNA". It matches the Rfam family "Bacterial small subunit ribosomal RNA", at positions 28 to 507 of the family's 1533-position model. The record is from RNAcentral.